RNAcentral lists this non-coding RNA (20 nucleotides) under Arabidopsis thaliana (thale cress). The record is from RNAcentral. Lineage: Eukaryota; Viridiplantae; Streptophyta; Magnoliopsida; Brassicales; Brassicaceae.
GAGGACAUUGUCAGGUGGGG